AACGCGAAGAACCUUACCUGGGCUUGAACUACUCGUGGUAGUUCGCUGGAAACAGUGGAUGACCCGCAAGGGAGCGAGCAGAGGUGCUGCAUGGUUGUCGUCAGCUCGUGUCGUGAGAUGUUGGGUUAAGUCCCGCAACGAGCGCAACCCCUAUUCGAUGUUGCUAAUCCCGCAAGGGAUGCACUCUUCGAAAACUGCCUUCGAUAAGAAGGAGGAAGGUGGGGACGACGUCAAAUCCUCAUGGCCCUUAUGUCCAGGGCUACACACGUGCUACAAUGGCCGGUACAACGGGAAGCAAUACCGCAAGGUGGAGCCAAACCCUGAAAGCCGGCCUCAGUUCAGAUCGUGGGCUGCAACUCGCCCACGUGAAGGCGGAAUCGCUAGUAAUCGCGAAUCAGCAGGUCGCGGUGAAUACGUUCCCGGGCCUUGUACACACCGAGACGAC
RNAcentral lists this ribosomal RNA (445 nucleotides) under uncultured bacterium. RNAcentral's name for it is "bacterial SSU rRNA". It matches the Rfam family "Bacterial small subunit ribosomal RNA", at positions 958 to 1398 of the family's 1533-position model. The record is from RNAcentral.